CUGUCAAUGAGGAAGUGAGGACCCUCACCAAAUACCAAAUCCAACAGCAGCGUGAUCUUGGACUUCCUAGCCUUCAGAACUGUGAACUAAAGUGGAACAGAGUUCCUGGACCCCAGCUGGGAUUUCACUGUUGCCCCUCUGGAAACAUCUUCCCUGGAGAUUAAGCCUAUGGGAGAAGAGUCUUAGUGGACUUCACCAGGACUACACUUCCUUUGCCCCCUCCGUGGGGCCAAGGGGAACUUCCUCCAGAUCCUCCCUGAUCCACCCUACGAGAGCUUGGUGUACUUCCUGGAAGAAAAUUUUGCUUAUGAAUGGAGACCUCCAGGACCUUCUCACUCUUAUGCUGUCCCACACUUAGCCUCCAACAAUUUAUCAAAAUUUCUAGUUUAAUAUUCCACAAACAUCUGCUUCAGGCGAGGGAAACUUUCUCAUCAGGGACGUCUUAACUGGACAAUCCAGGCUUGGACCUCAGCAGAGGGUCAUUGCUAGGGGACAGAGAAAUAAGACCUCCUACAGUCAGUACUUCCCUUGAUGGCGGUGAAUGACCAGGAGUGGACAAAAUAAGGGUGCUUCCCAAAGUGUUCUGAAGAACAGCAGUCCUUUGACGUACUCUAAAAAGACCAACUUCUCAGUCAAUAUGCAGAUUUCUCGAAAAACUAAAAAUGGAACUACCACAGAUUCCAGCUAUUCCACUACUGGGUAUUUCUCCAAAGAACAUGAAAUCAACAAUUUAAAGAGACUUAUGCACCCCUAUGUUCAUUGCAGCGUUAUUCAUAAUAGCCAAGAUGUGGAAACAACCCAAGUGCCUAUCAACUGAUGAUUGGAUAAAGAAGAUGUGGUGUGUAGAUAUAUACAAUGGAAUACUACUUAACCAUAAAAAAGACAAAAUUGUCCCAUUUGCAACAACAGGGACAGACCUUGAGGCUAUUAUGCUAAGUGAAAUAAGUUAGAGAAAGACAAACACCAUAUCAUUUCACUGGUGAAAAAACAAGUAUCUGCAGGUGAAGCAUCUUGGUCAAGUCCCCACGGGAAAGGAGAGCUAAAAUCCAGUCUGAGUUUUCCGACGUCAGAGCCCGUACUUCUAACUUCUCUGCUAUGGAUGUUCCAUAAUUUAGUUAUAAAAAUGCUUAUUGAUAAACAGAGGCUGGACGUGUUGCAGCUGAAGCCCAAUAAGCUUGGAUUAUAGCUGUUAGGGUCAAGUCUAUUGUCCAUUGUCAGUCUUCCUAUUGGAAAUAUUUCGAACGUGCAGAUCUUAAUCUGGAGCACUCAUGAACCAUAUUCCUACGAGCGUUGCUUGCUCCAACACCUUCGGCAGAAUGAUUGGGCCAUGAACAGAUAAGUGGAAAUGGCUCAUCUUGCUCUUCUCCAAGAUGCUUUCUGUCUCUCUUUGUUUUCUCUGUGACUACAGCCUCUGGGUUUUAUCCUUUUCUUAUAGCAACCUGGAGGGAAUCUUGUAAGUCCAACUUGAAAUGAGUCAUUGGACAGCAGCACUGGAGGCAGUGAAACGUCCCACGUAAAGCUGAUAUCUCUUCAGUCUGCAAAGCUAAGGAAUCACCACCUGUUUACUCAUUCCGUGAUCACUAUUGUAUAAGCUACAUAAACUACGAGGAGGAGAAAUGGGGUCUGGAAGUUCUUUUACAACAUGUAUAUAACUUAGUUUAUUAUUAGCACCUGGAAGGCAUCUCAAUCAGUAUUCAUUCCUUUGAAACUUUUAAGUUGAGAAAUAUUUCUCUUUUAUGAAAGGGAACAUUUUAGGGAAGAUCAGCAGUUCUCCAGCUAGUGUGGAUAACACAGAGAUACUAAGUGGAGGAAGCUCGUGUGCAGCAAGAAGAAGAGGAUGCUUCCAGGUCCCGCCUGCCGUGAGGACGCUGCAGCAAACACAGGGGCACAGAUGUCCUUUCCAAUUAGUGUCUUCACAGUCUUUGGAUAAACACCCAGAAGUGGAAUAGCUGGAUUAUGUGGUAGUUGUAUUCUUAAUUGUUUGAGGAAUCUCCUUACUGUUUCAUCUGAAAUUUAUAGAACGUUAUAAAUCAAUGUUACCUCAAUAAAAUUAAAAAAUAAAUUUUAAAAAAA
Equus caballus (horse) is the source of this 2073-nucleotide long non-coding RNA. Lineage: Eukaryota; Metazoa; Chordata; Mammalia; Perissodactyla; Equidae. The record is from Ensembl.